RNAcentral lists this long non-coding RNA (950 nucleotides) under Heterocephalus glaber (naked mole-rat). RNAcentral describes it as "lncRNA (ENSHGLG00100045241.1)". The record is from RNAcentral. Lineage: Eukaryota; Metazoa; Chordata; Mammalia; Rodentia; Bathyergidae.
CGAAGAGCCUGGCAGUGGGACUUGUCCCUGCCCUGCCACAUGGAAGGACGGGGUCAUUCUGGGGGCCUCGUUCCCAUGCCUGCUCCUCGCUCCAUCUUUCCCCUCUUCUCUCUUCCUGUUUCUGCUUCUUUGGCUCUGCUUUCUCUUGGUUUUGGUGGAGAGUUGAGCUCAUUUCACACAUGUGAUCACUUGAUGUAGUGCAUUCCUAACUUUUCAGGUCUGGGGUGUUAACGACAGCAGGCUCUGUUCUGGCCUUUAGCAGGAGCUGGUGCUCAGAGUGAGAAAUAGGAGCAGCACCUUGGUGUGUGAAGUGAAUGGUGAGAGCUAAGCAUCUUCUUACCUGAGGGGUGGAUGGAGCGGGGACAACAAGGGGUUACUGAUCCCUGGUGCUUGGGGAAGAUCCGAUGAUGACUGUUUCUACAGUGGCUUAAGGCAGCUGGCUCCCUGUGCCCCUCUCUUCACCUUCGGGGAGGAAACGUCAUCACCACAGAGCAUGAAUUUGCCCGUGGAGUCUUUCUUCCCUGCUCAUACCCAUGGCUGUGAGGGACCCCAGCUGACCACAGCUCUGCUGACCCCUGGGCCUGUUCUUCCCAGAAUGCCACCUCUGAGUCUCCCUCAGAUCUGCUCAUAGCCCUUUGCCACCAUCCUCUCGGAUGUCCUCCAGGAGGCUGAGCCAGGAGGAUCGAAAGUUCCAAGACAGCCUGAGCAGCUUAGCAAGACCCCGUUUCAAAACGAAAAAUAAACAUGACAGGGGAUGCAGCGCAGUAGGGUGUGCCCCUGAGUCCCAUCCCCAGUACCAGUCAAAACAAGCAAGUGAACAAGCAAAACCAUUCACUCUUCCCAUUUCCAAUAUGGCCUAGUUCCAUAUACCUGGGCCCUCCUCAUCCAACACCACCAAAGCACACAUGGCCUGGCACUGUCCUGACCCCACACUCCUCCUCAUACCCUGC